Sinocyclocheilus anshuiensis is the source of this 998-nucleotide long non-coding RNA. RefSeq lists it as uncharacterized. The record is from RefSeq and is a predicted model, not a curated record. Lineage: Eukaryota; Metazoa; Chordata; Actinopteri; Cypriniformes; Cyprinidae. The transcript is spliced from 4 exons.
AUCAGCCUGAUGCUCACGUGUUUCCACCUGGAUGUGGUGAAGGGGAGCUCUCGGGACGGAUCGGGCUGCUGCGCUCUGUACUAGGCCGCAGCUGGAGGACACCUGCCUCUCCUGCAGUACCUCAUACAGGACGGAUGUGAGGUUGAUAUUCGGGACGCCCCUCAUGAUCGUAUCGGUCAUAACUGGAGACACAGCUGCAGCUUCACUGUUAAUCACAGCUGGUGCUGAUGUUAAUGUUCAGGACAGAGACGGGUAAACACCACUGAUGGCUGGCGUUAGCCAAAUGGCGCACGCAUUUGAAAGGAAGAAUAUCAUCAGUCUGUUUGUGGACGAGAAGUGAGAGACGUCAGACUAAAUGACAAACCACACAUCAGUUUCAUAAACAACUUUACUAGCGCUGCCCUUUAUGCUGACUGAUAUUUGUGUGCUGCAGCCAUCAACAUACAGUAUCUUAUUUCACAUUUCUUGAUUUAUCAAAGAUGUAUCAUAAAAAAGCAGUUUACACCCGUGACACUGAAGAAAAUAUGAAAAGAAUGUUACAUGAGCAGAUUUACUGAGUGCGGCUACAACGUGAUUCAAAGUGAAUAAUAGUAAAUGAUAACUGAGAUUAAAACAAGCAAGGCAGUUAACCUAGAGACACGUGAUCAUCGUAUCAAGUCAACGUCUAGAUCUGAACAGUCUCUGUGCGUACUAUAAUGCACUGUGUGGUUUAACACUGUAAAAAGGCAACGGGACACUCAUUAUGUUUGCUAAUACAGUGAAUGAAGAUGAAUUUACAAAUGUAAACACAGAUAUAAUGGCACUCAUAAGGCGUCAGAAUACAGGCCUAAAGUUUGAGAUCAUAAAUGGCUCAGUGGCAUAAAGUAAUAAGACUCAAUAAUAAUAAGUCUCAGUGCCAAACAUCAACCUGCAAAUGGAGAGUGAAUUUUGCCAGCUAUAUACAUUUCUUAUUAAAAUACAUUAUAUUCAAAACGUUGGGUAACUUUCAGUAAUAUUUU